CCAACAUGGGCAUCCAUUGAGGUGGCUCUCGCAUGGCUCUGCCCAGGUGGCGUGUGGGAGCUUAGCCCCGUAAGGGGCAAUGAUGUAUAGUCCUAUUCCACAAUGUUGGACAUGAAGCUUUUCCCCCCCCAGACUGAAAAGGCUGGUGUGGGAGGCAUCCUGUAUAUUCCUAUAACUUCCCAGCUUUUGCAGUUGCUGUGAAGACAAACCAUGCAGGACACAAGU
RNAcentral lists this small nucleolar RNA (225 nucleotides) under Podarcis muralis (Common wall lizard). Its description in RNAcentral is "Small nucleolar RNA SNORA73 family (ENSPMRG00000011524.1)". It matches the Rfam family "Small nucleolar RNA SNORA73 family". Rfam says of the family: U17 (SNORA73A and SNORA73B) also known as E1 belongs to the H/ACA class of small nucleolar RNAs (snoRNAs). Vertebrate U17 is intron-encoded and ranges in length from 200-230 nucleotides, longer than most snoRNAs. The record is from Rfam by way of RNAcentral. Lineage: Eukaryota; Metazoa; Chordata; Lepidosauria; Squamata; Lacertidae.